Molecule: ribosomal RNA, 253 nt
Filed under: uncultured bacterium
Lineage: Bacteria
Description: partial 16S ribosomal RNA
Rfam family: Bacterial small subunit ribosomal RNA
Source: RNAcentral
UACAGAGGGUGCAAGCGUUAAUCGGAAUUACUGGGCGUAAAGCGAGCGUAGUCGGUUAUUUAAGUCGGGUGUGAAAGCCCCGGGCUCAACCUGGGAAUUGCAUUCGAUACUGGAUAGCUAGAGUUCGGCAGAGGGAAGCGGAAUUUCCGGUGUAGCGGUGAAAUGCGUAGAUAUCGGAAGGAACAUCAGUGGCGAAAGCGACUUCCUGGACCAAUACUGACGCUCAUGUGCGAAAGCGUGGGGAGCAAACAGG